CUUUUGCGUUAAGCAUUGAAGCGGCAUCUUUUUGGUGCAACGGUUUGUAAAACCUGUUUGCUUAACCAAAAAAUACAGCAAAAAGCCUGGCCAUUU
Molecule: unclassified non-coding RNA, 96 nt
Filed under: Cellulophaga fucicola
Lineage: Bacteria; Pseudomonadati; Bacteroidota; Flavobacteriia; Flavobacteriales; Flavobacteriaceae
Description: Flavo-1 RNA
Source: RNAcentral